ACGCUAGCUACAGGCUUAACACAUGCAAGUCGAGGGCAGCAUGGAAGAAGCUUGCUUCUUCUGAUGGCGACCGGCGCACGGGUGCGUAACGCGUAUCAAACCUGCCUCAUACUCGGGGAUAGCCUUGCGAAAGUAAGAUUAAUACCCGAUGUUGUUGCUUUCUCGCAUGGGAGGGUAACCAAAGAUUUAUCGGUAUGAGAUGGUGAUGCGUCCGAUUAGGUAGUAGGCGGGGUAACGGCCCACCUAGCCUUCGAUCGGUAGGGGUUCUGAGAGGAAGGUCCCCCACACUGGAACUGAGACACGGUCCAGACUCCUACGGGAGGCAGCAGUGAGGAAUAUUGGUCAAUGGGCGAGAGCCUGAACCAGCCAAGUAGCGUGCAGGAUGACGGCCCUCCGGGUUGUAAACUGCUUUUAGUUGGGAAUAAAAAAAGGGACUUGUCCCUUCUUGUAUGUACCUUCAGAAAAAGGACCGGCUAAUUCCGUGCCAGCAGCCGCGGUAAUACGGAAGGUCCAGGCGUUAUCCGGAUUUAUUGGGUUUAAAGGGAGCGUAGGCGGAUUGUUAAGUCAGCGGUUAAAGGGUGUGGCUCAACCAUGCAUUGCCGUUGAAACUGGCGAUCUUGAGUGCAGACAGGGAUGCCGGAAUUCGUGGUGUAGCGGUGAAAUGCUAGAUAUCACGAAGAACUCCGAUCGCGAAGGCAGGUGUCCGGGCUGCAACUGACGCUGAGGCUCGAAAGUGUGGGUAUCAAACAGGAUUAGAUACCCUGGUAGUCCACACAGUAAACGAUGUAUACUCGCGGUUUGCGAUAGAUUGUAAGCCGCCAAGCGAAAGCAUUAAGUAUACCACCUGGGGAGUACGCCGGCAACGGUGAAACUCAAAGGAAUUGACGGGGGCCCGCACAAGCGGAGGAACAUGUGG
This 916-nucleotide ribosomal RNA is filed under the name uncultured bacterium. RNAcentral describes it as "bacterial SSU rRNA". It matches the Rfam family "Bacterial small subunit ribosomal RNA", at positions 33 to 944 of the family's 1533-position model. The record is from RNAcentral.